CCCUUAGAUGUUCUGGGCCGCACGCGUGCUACACUGAUGCAUUCAACGAGUCUAAAACCUGGUCUGAUAGGGCUGGGUAAUCUUUUGAAAGUGCAUCGUGAUUGGGAUAGAUGAUUGCAAUUCUUCAUCUUCAACGAGGAAUGCCUAGUAAACGCAAGUCAUCAGCUUGCAUUGAUUACGUCACUGCCCUUUGUACACACCGCCCGUCGCUCCUACCGAUUGAAUGAUCCGAUGAAUACCAUGGAUUGAGAGUACGAAUAGGUUCGCUUAUUUCUGCUGCUCGAGAAGUGGAGUAAAUCUUAUCAUUUAGAGGAAGGAGAAGUCGUAACA
Molecule: ribosomal RNA, 330 nt
Filed under: uncultured eukaryote
Lineage: Eukaryota
Description: partial 18S ribosomal RNA
Rfam family: Eukaryotic small subunit ribosomal RNA
Source: RNAcentral